Molecule: ribosomal RNA, 253 nt
Filed under: uncultured bacterium
Lineage: Bacteria
Description: partial 16S ribosomal RNA
Rfam family: Bacterial small subunit ribosomal RNA
Source: RNAcentral
UACGGGGGGGGCAAGCGUUGUUCGGAAUUACUGGGCGUAAAGGGCUCGUAGGCGGCCAACUAAGUCAGACGUGAAAUCCCCAGGCUCAACCUGGGAACUGCGUCUGAUACUGGAUGGCUUGAAUCCGGGAGAGGGAUGCGGAAUUCCAGGUGUAGCGGUGAAAUGCGUAGAUAUCUGGAGGAACACCGGUGGCGAAGGCGGCAUCCUGGACCGGCAUUGACGCUGAGGCGCGAAAGCCAGGGGAGCAAACGGG